This 81-nucleotide transfer RNA is filed under the name Cryptobacterium sp. CAG:338. It matches the Rfam family "tRNA". Rfam says of the family: Transfer RNA (tRNA) molecules are approximately 80 nucleotides in length. Their secondary structure includes four short double-helical elements and three loops (D, anti-codon, and T loops). Lineage: Bacteria; Bacillati; Actinomycetota; Coriobacteriia; Eggerthellales; Eggerthellaceae. The record is from Rfam by way of RNAcentral.
GCCGGAGUGGCGGAACGGCAGACGCGGCGGUCUCAAAAACCGUUGUCGAAAGACGUGCGGGUUCAAAUCCCGCCUCCGGCA